RNAcentral lists this ribosomal RNA (439 nucleotides) under uncultured bacterium. RNAcentral's name for it is "partial 16S ribosomal RNA". It matches the Rfam family "Bacterial small subunit ribosomal RNA", at positions 339 to 795 of the family's 1533-position model. The record is from RNAcentral.
CUACGGGAUGCUGCAGUGAGGAAUAUUGCACAAUGGGGGAAACCCUGAUGCAGCAACGCCGCGUGGAGGAUGACGCAUUUCGGUGUGUAAACUCCUUUUAUGAGUCAAGAAAAUGACGGUAGCUCAUGAAUAAGCACCGGCUAACUCCGUGCCAGCAGCCGCGGUAAUACGGAGGGCGCAAGCGUUACUCGGAAUCACUGGGCGUAAAGGACGCGUAGGCGGGCUUUCAAGUCAGGUGUGAAAUCCUACAGCUUAACUGUAGAACUGCACUUGAAACUGGGAGCCUAGAGUAUGGGAGGGGGAGAUGGAAUUAGUGGUGUAGGGGUAAAAUCCGUAGAUAUCACUAGGAAUACCGAAAGCGAAGGCGAUCUCCUGGAACAUUACUGACGCUAAGGCGUGAAAGCGUGGGGAGCAAACAGGAUUAGAUACCCUUGUAGUC